RNAcentral lists this unclassified non-coding RNA (324 nucleotides) under soil metagenome. Its description in RNAcentral is "partial contains 5.8S ribosomal RNA, internal transcribed spacer 2, and large subunit ribosomal RNA". The stretch from base 1 to 120 matches the Rfam family "5.8S ribosomal RNA", at positions 35 to 154 of the family's 154-position model. The record is from RNAcentral.
GAUGAAGAACGUAGCGAAAUGCGAUAAGUAAUGUGAAUUGCAGAAUUCAGUGAAUCAUCGAAUCUUUGAACGCACAUUGCGCCCCUUGGUAUUCCGAGGGGCAUGCCUGUUCGAGCGUCAUAUUAACCACUCCCGCUUGCGGGGUCUUGGGCUUCGCCUCCGGGCGGGCCUUAAAAUCAGUGGCGGUGCCGUCGGGCUCUACGCGUAGUAAAUUUUCUCGCGAUAGGGUCCCGGUGGAUGCUUGCCAACAACCCCCAACUUCUUAAGGUUGACCUCGGAUCAGGUAGGGAUACCCGCUGAACUUAAGCAUAUCAAUAGCGAGGA